Long non-coding RNA from Xyrauchen texanus (razorback sucker), 379 nucleotides. RefSeq lists it as uncharacterized. The transcript is spliced from 3 exons. Lineage: Eukaryota; Metazoa; Chordata; Actinopteri; Cypriniformes; Catostomidae. The record is from RefSeq and is a predicted model, not a curated record.
AUUUAGUAGUCCAGGCACUGAUCAGGUAAUCAAAUGCAAAUUGCUAAAUACUGAUUCACAAGCAGGGGAGCUGAUUGAGACACAGUGCAAUGAGGUUAUUGGCAGCUACCAUAUGGAGGAGGAGGGUCUAAAAAAAGCCUGGCCGGCACCCUCAGACUCCUCAGAGAAUGAGCGCAAAAUCACACAGUUCAACGAUGUCUGGCAUCUGGAGAAAGAUUUAGGUUUGUCCAAGAAGUUGGAUAAAAUUGGACUGUCUGUCAGCAUAAAGAACCACGUUUACUGCCACAUCAUCUAAAUCCAGCACAGAGAAAGUAGCAAUAUAUAAUAUACAAUUAUUGUUCAUAUUAUUCUUCAUCACACCUUCUGAACUUUGAACUAA